UGGCGGCGUGCCUAAUACAUGCAAGUCGAGCGGACCUCUUCGGAGGUCAGCGGCGGACGGGUGAGUAACACGUGGGCAACCUGCCUGUAAGACUGGGAUAACUCCGGGAAACCGGAGCUAAUACCGGAUAGUAUCUUGAACCGCAUGGUUCAAGUUGGAAAGACGGUUUCGGCUGUCACUUACAGAUGGGCCCGCGGCGCAUUAGCUAGUUGGUGAGGUAAUGGCUCACCAAGGCAACGAUGCGUAGCCGACCUGAGAGGGUGAUCGGCCACACUGGGACUGAGACACGGCCCAGACUCCUACGGGAGGCAGCAGUAGGGAAUCUUCCGCAAUGGACGAAAGUCUGACGGAGCAACGCCGCGUGAGUGAUGAAGGUUUUCGGAUCGUAAAACUCUGUUGUUAGGGAAGAACAAGUGCGAGAGUAACUGCUCGCACCUUGACGGUACCUAACCAGAAAGCCACGGCUAACUACGUGCCAGCAGCCGCGGUAAUACGUAGGUGGCAAGCGUUGUCCGGAAUUAUUGGGCGUAAAGCGCGCGCAGGCGGUUUCUUAAGUCUGAUGUGAAAGCCCCCGGCUCAACCGGGGAGGGUCAUUGGAAACUGGGAAACUUGAGUGCAGAAGAGGAGAGUGGAAUUCCACGUGUAGCGGUGAAAUGCGUAGAGAUGUGGAGGAACACCAGUGGCGAAGGC
Molecule: ribosomal RNA, 690 nt
Filed under: Bacillus sp. (in: firmicutes)
Lineage: Bacteria; Bacillati; Bacillota; Bacilli; Caryophanales; Bacillaceae
Description: bacterial SSU rRNA
Rfam family: Bacterial small subunit ribosomal RNA
Source: RNAcentral